CCCUACGGGGCGCCCCAGAUCCAGGUAUCCUUGUCGAUGCCAGUAACGGUUUCCAGUCGCACGGCUACUUUUUUAGGGCAAGGUCGUCUUCCCCUGAGGAUAUGGUUGAGAAAAUCAGGUUUGAUUUUCGCCAACGCAGCGAUCUGCUUUUGUGUGAUUCUCUUUUUGAUAGCACGCAUGGUCAAUUUUAUUAGGUUGGCGGCAAUGAUCUGUCAAUGGAAAAUCGAUACAAUUUUACCCUAAAUGCUUAUUUUUAUGAUAGAAAAUGAGCAAUUGCUCAAUAAGUGACCCAGGGGGUAUUUGUUUCGUGUUUGUGACAGGUCUCGUCAAGCCAUUGCCGUAGUCAGGCUCUACGAAUUCAUGACUCUCUUGCGGUCGCCUAUCCUAUGAGAAGUCGUUGGAAUUGGCGGGGGAGC
This 416-nucleotide ribosomal RNA is filed under the name uncultured prokaryote. Its description in RNAcentral is "partial 16S ribosomal RNA". The record is from RNAcentral.